AAGGCCAAAACACGGGUAACCGUGUGACGGAAAGCCUACGGGUCCACGAGACGGAUUCGAUUUUUGACGGAGACCAAGGCGGCGAGG
RNAcentral lists this small RNA (87 nucleotides) under Geobacter metallireducens GS-15. RNAcentral describes it as "GEMM RNA". Lineage: Bacteria; Pseudomonadati; Thermodesulfobacteriota; Desulfuromonadia; Geobacterales; Geobacteraceae. The record is from RNAcentral.